This 254-nucleotide ribosomal RNA is filed under the name uncultured bacterium. Its description in RNAcentral is "partial 16S ribosomal RNA". It matches the Rfam family "Bacterial small subunit ribosomal RNA", at positions 524 to 776 of the family's 1533-position model. The record is from RNAcentral.
UACAGAGGUGGCAAGCGUUGUUCGGAAUUACUGGGCGUAAAGGGCGCGUAGGCGGCCAUCUAAGUCAGACGUGAAAUCCCCCGGCUUAACCUGGGAACUGCGUCUGAUACUGGACGGCUAGAGUAUGGGAGAGGGAUGUAGAAUUCAAGGUGUAGCGGUGAAAUGCGUAGAUAUCUGGAGGAAUACCGGUGGCGAAGGCGGCAUCCUGGACCAUUUACUGACGCUGAGGCGCGAAAGCUAGGGGAGCAAACGGG